CAUUCUCUGUGCCUUGACAGGGUUAACGAUAGUCGCGAAUUCAAGCAAAAAGCUUAGGCUUUGCCUUGGCCAGAGACAGCAAUCCGCAGAACUAUGCCGCCUACUUACUUCACAGGCGCCGUCGCAACAACGUGCACUGUCCUGUGAUGGUAGGCAGCCGGUGACCUAAGAGCUUAAUGAACACGCUCUUUAUGAUGACGCCGGUGGUCUUGCUGUUGCUAUCGUCACUUUCGCUUGCACAGGCAAGUGAAACAGACGUCCCACCGCCCAACUGCACUACAACAUUUAAAAUACCCGCACGCCGAUGUAAGCUGAUCUGUCUCACAAGAUUCGCCGCUCGCUUUAUACCCCUCUUCAGAAUUAUCAACAAGCCUGACGGUACGAAAUGCAAGAGAUUAUUGACCGGAAUGAAAGGAUAUUGUAAAGAAGGAAGGUGCAUACUUGGUGGCGUGCUGGGUUUCUUUAUUAAUAAGACUCCGUUGAAGCAUAUUGGAUAAGCGAUUCCUGACACAACUAUGGGCAUUUCUCCGACGAAGAAAGCACUUUAGUUUACGUCUGAUCUGGAAAUACUGUAAUAAAGGCGGCUGGCCGGUCUCAACUUAA
RNAcentral lists this long non-coding RNA (603 nucleotides) under Dermacentor andersoni. RNAcentral describes it as "uncharacterized LOC126546104". The record is from RNAcentral. Lineage: Eukaryota; Metazoa; Arthropoda; Arachnida; Ixodida; Ixodidae.